This 73-nucleotide transfer RNA is filed under the name Eoscarta assimilis. Its description in RNAcentral is "tRNA-Tyr". The record is from RNAcentral. Lineage: Eukaryota; Metazoa; Arthropoda; Insecta; Hemiptera; Cercopidae.
GUUAAAAUGGCUGAAAUAGUAGGUAAUAAAUUGUAAAUUUAUUUAUGAAGUAAUAAUUUGACUUCUUUUAACA